CACAAGUAUACAGAGUCUCUAUACUGAAUCUCCCUCACACCUCUGAUCCCUAAUCUACCAUUUCCCUCCUCAGGGGCAAUUGCUGUCACUGAUUUGUAUUCUUCCAGUCAUUUUAUGCAUGCAGAAAUAUAUCAAUGUGGGUGUGUUUAUGUGUAUAGAUAUGUCUUUGUAUACAUACGUAUGUCUCACACCAGCAGUAGCUCACUAAUCACACUGUUCUUCAUCUUCUUAAAAUUUGAUGUAUAUUAAAGCAGCUAUUAUUAUCCUUAUUUUAUAGUUGAGGAAAGCAAUGCUCAAAAAGGAAAUUGACUUGCUUAAGAUGGCUCAGCUAGUAAGAUGGUGAGAUUUGGAUUCAAAACCAGUCUACGUGAUUACAAAUCUAAUGCCCUCUCUACACUUCAAGGAAUAUCCCUAGAGGGUUGUUCUGGUUACUUUCCUGUACAACAAAUUACUCAAAAUUUAGAGUUCCGGAGACUGGAAGUCCCAGAUCAAGCUGCUGGCAGAUUUGAGGCCCUCCAGGACCAGCUGAACCGACCCCAUCUUAUCAACAGAGUAAUUAAGAGUGGUUUUUCAGGAACUGAGACCCUUUGUCCAGUUCAGGCCGGCUGAGACCACCAACCCAUCAACUGGGCCUGUGCAAAUGCUCGAUAAGUGACCUUUUUGAUGUCAAGGAGCUAACAACUCCACCCUCAGAUCAUGGUAACGCCGCCAUUUUGUGAGCAUGCAUCUUAUGAAGAGCCAUGAAGCUUGACUAUGCUCGCGCAGAUCAUCAAUGACCUCACUUCUCCUUUCCUCCAAUCAUCCAUCUCCAUGCUUCAAACUGCCCUGCCCAACAUCCCAUAAACUGUGCCCCAAGCCCUGGAUCGGGGAGACAGAUCCGAGAGCACAGGCCCUUGUCUCCUUGCAGAUGGAUCUCGCAAAAUAAAGCUGAUUUCUCUUCCCAAAAGCUGAUGCCA
Molecule: long non-coding RNA, 956 nt
Filed under: Equus asinus (donkey)
Lineage: Eukaryota; Metazoa; Chordata; Mammalia; Perissodactyla; Equidae
Description: lncRNA (ENSEASG00005026751.1)
Source: RNAcentral